UGGCAAAACACUCUAUGUAAAUCGUUCGAAAUUUUUCGAAAAAUACUAUCAAAUUUGUUAACGGUUUAAAAUAAAGAAAUGCAAUUUCCACUUCCGACACGUCCCAGUGACGGACCUAAAGACCAAUAUUAUUAUCCGUUUUCAAAACUGAAAUCCGUUAAACGCAAUUCUUACAGUUUGGUUUGGCUUUUAGGUCUGAAUCGAGUAAAAUAUACACCGUCGACAAUCCUCUUUUUAAGCAGUGGCGUAGCCAGCGAGCAGGCCCGGGCGUACCGGGCAUAUCCGCUUUUCAGUUAACACAU
This is a non-coding RNA of Cinara cedri, 302 nucleotides long. The record is from the annotation of a GenBank genome assembly. NCBI's taxonomy places the organism in Eukaryota, Metazoa, Arthropoda, Insecta, Hemiptera, Aphididae.